Molecule: ribosomal RNA, 497 nt
Filed under: uncultured bacterium
Lineage: Bacteria
Description: partial 16S ribosomal RNA
Rfam family: Bacterial small subunit ribosomal RNA
Source: RNAcentral
GAUGAACGCUGGCGGCGUGCCUAAUACAUGCAAGUCGAGCGAACAGACGAGGAGCUUGCUCCUUCGACGUUAGCGGCGGACGGGUGAGUAACACGUAGGUAACCUCCCUAUAAGACUGGGAUAACUUCGGGAAACCGGAGCUAAUAGCGGAUAAUAUUUCGAACCGCAUGGUUCGAUAGUGAAAGAUGGCUUUGCUAUCACUUAUAGAUGGACCUGCGCCGUAUUAGCUAGUUGGUAAGGUAACGGCCUAUCAAGGCAACGAUACGUAGCCGACCUGAGAGGCGGAUCGGCCACAUGAGAACUGAGACACGGUCCAGAGUCCUACGGGAGGCAGCAGUAGGGAAUGUGCCGCAGUGGGCGAAAGCCUGACGGAGCAACGCCGCGUGAGUGAUGAAGGUCCUGGGAUCGUAAAACUCUGUUAUUAGGGAAGAACAAAUGUGUAAGUAACUGUGCACGUCGUGACGGUACCUAAUCAGAAAGCCACGGCUAACUACGUG